Molecule: ribosomal RNA, 411 nt
Filed under: uncultured archaeon
Lineage: Archaea
Description: bacterial SSU rRNA
Rfam family: Archaeal small subunit ribosomal RNA
Source: RNAcentral
CUUACCCUUAGGACUGGGAUAACUCUGGGAAACUGGGGAUAAUACCGGAUAUUAGGCUAUGGCUGGAAUGCUUUGCCUUUGAAAUGUUUCUUGUAUUCGCCUAAGGAUAGAUCUGCGGCUGAUUAGGUCGUUGGUGGGGUAAUGGCCCACCAAGCCUAUGAUCGGUACGGGUUGUGAGAGCAAGAGCCCGGAGAUGGAACCUGAGACAAGGUUCCAGACCCUACGGGGUGCAGCAGGCGCGAAACCUCCGCAAUGUACGAAAGUGCGACGGGGGGAUCCCAAGUGUUAUUCUUAAUAGGAUAACUUUUCAUUAGUGUAAAAAGCUUUUAGAAUAAGAGCUGGGCAAGACCGGUGCCAGCCGCCGCGGUAACACCGGCAGCUCAAGUGGUAGCUGUUUUUAUUGGGCCUAAA